UACGUAGGUGGCAAGCGUUGUCCGGAUUUACUGGGCGUAAAGAGCGCGCAGGCGGUCGUUCAAGUCGCGUGUGAAAGCCCCCGGCUCAACUGGGGAGGGUCACGCGAUACUGAUCGACUCGAAGGCAGGAGAGGGUAGUGGAAUUCCCGGUGUAGUGGUGAAAUGCGUAGAUAUCGGGAGGAACGCCAGUGGCGAAGGCGGCUAUCUGGACGGUUUCUGACGCUAAGACGCGAAAGCGUGGGGAGCAAACAGG
RNAcentral lists this ribosomal RNA (253 nucleotides) under uncultured bacterium. RNAcentral's name for it is "partial 16S ribosomal RNA". It matches the Rfam family "Bacterial small subunit ribosomal RNA", at positions 524 to 776 of the family's 1533-position model. The record is from RNAcentral.